AUCCAGCUGACGAGUUCCAAAUAGGACUAAACGCGCGUCUUGGAU
This is a non-coding RNA of Schistosoma mansoni, 45 nucleotides long. Lineage: Eukaryota; Metazoa; Platyhelminthes; Trematoda; Strigeidida; Schistosomatidae. The record is from Rfam.